RNAcentral lists this long non-coding RNA (324 nucleotides) under Lathyrus oleraceus (garden pea). Its description in RNAcentral is "Pisum sativum (pea) long non-coding RNA (PSAT_LNC004782)". Lineage: Eukaryota; Viridiplantae; Streptophyta; Magnoliopsida; Fabales; Fabaceae. The record is from RNAcentral.
UUUUGUUUCUUUCUUUCUUUUUUUAUUUCUUUUGAUUUUGAUUUGAUUUUGAUUUUGAUUUUGCACCCUCCUCUUUCUCUUUUUUUUUAUUACAUUUGUAAUGCCCCAGUUGGACUGUUUUGCUGAUUCUCGAGAUGCAACUGAGUGAUCUUCUUUUCUUGCUCAAGAAGUCGGGAAAUCUCGUCAGGAAUCCCUUCAACAUCAUCUUCCUCUGCUUCGAAUACAGGGAAUUCAAAAUUGGGAGAUGGCGUUGGAUUAUUAUGUUCAAUGGGUUUUAGAAUCAACCUGCAUAAUGAUUUUGAAUAUGAAAGCUUUUUGGAAAUC